GCGGCAUGCUUUACACAUGCAAGUCGAACGGCAGCACGGGGGCAACCCUGGNUGGCGAGUGGCGAACGGGUGAGGAAUACAUCGGAACGUGUCUUCAAGUGGGGGAUAACGCAUCGAAAGGUGUGCUAAUACCGCAUAAUCUCUGAGGAGAAAAGCAGGGUGAUCGUAAGACCUUGCGCUUUUGGAGCGGCCGAUGUCUGAUUAGCUUGUUGGUAAGGUAAAAGCUUACCAAGGCUUCGAUCAGUAGCUGGUCUGAGAGGACGGCCAGCCACACUGGGACUGAGACACGGCCCAGACUCCUACGGGAGGCAGCAGUGGGGAAUUUUGGACAAUGGGGGCAACCCUGAUCCAGCCAUGCCGCGUGAGUGAAGAAGGCCUUCGGGUUGUAAAGCUCUUUCAGCCGGAACGAAACGGUUACGGUUAAUACCCGUGACUACUGACGGUACCGGAAGAAGAAGCACCGGCUACCUACGUGCCAGCAGCCGCGGUAAUACGUAGGGUGCAAGCGUUAAUCGGAAUUACUGGGCGUAAAGCGUGCGCAGGUGGUUUUGUAAGUCAGAUGUGAAAUCCCCGGGCUUAACCUGGGAACUGCGUUUGAAACUACAAGGCUAGAGUGUGGCAGAGGGGGGUGGAAUUCCGCGUGUAGCAGUGAAAUGCGUAGAUAUGUGGAGGAACACCGAUGGCGAAGGCAGCCCCUGGGUCACACUGACGCUCAGGCAC
RNAcentral lists this ribosomal RNA (720 nucleotides) under uncultured bacterium. Its description in RNAcentral is "bacterial SSU rRNA". It matches the Rfam family "Bacterial small subunit ribosomal RNA", at positions 39 to 754 of the family's 1533-position model. The record is from RNAcentral.